AGGCACAUAGUGUAGCGGCAGCACGGCGGUCUCCAAAACCGCAGGCGGAGGUUCGAGUCCUUCUGCGCCUGCCA
Molecule: transfer RNA, 74 nt
Filed under: Megasphaera sp. ASD88
Lineage: Bacteria; Bacillati; Bacillota; Negativicutes; Veillonellales; Veillonellaceae
Description: tRNA-Trp
Rfam family: tRNA
About the family: Transfer RNA (tRNA) molecules are approximately 80 nucleotides in length. Their secondary structure includes four short double-helical elements and three loops (D, anti-codon, and T loops).
Source: RNAcentral